ACCGAUUAGGACAUACACUCGAGCUACUGUAGGAGGAUCCUCUACUAGGACUAGGAGAUCAGGCUUUCCCAUUGCCAGGCCUAAUUCCUCCACCACUUUCGAUAAAGUAUCUAAUGAGGAUCGGGCCUAGAUUCUCUUCUAGGAUUAGUAGUGAUUAUGUUGUUUUUGUUUCAUCAUAUGUCAUAGGACUUAGUCUAUGUACACCUUAGUAGUUGGAUUUGUACUUCAUCUUGCUUGUAC
This 240-nucleotide long non-coding RNA is filed under the name Elaeis guineensis (African oil palm). RNAcentral describes it as "long non-coding RNA (EGUI_LNC042512)". Lineage: Eukaryota; Viridiplantae; Streptophyta; Magnoliopsida; Arecales; Arecaceae. The record is from RNAcentral.